RNAcentral lists this ribosomal RNA (226 nucleotides) under uncultured bacterium. RNAcentral's name for it is "partial 16S ribosomal RNA". It matches the Rfam family "Bacterial small subunit ribosomal RNA", at positions 107 to 334 of the family's 1533-position model. The record is from RNAcentral.
UGAGUAACACGUAUCCAACCUGCCGUCUACUCUUGACAGCCUUCUGAAAGGAAGAUUAAUACAAGAUGGCAUCAUGAGUCCGCAUGUUCACAUGAUUAAAGGUAUUCCGGUAGACGAUGGGGAUGCGUUCCAUUAGAUAGUAGGCGGGGUAACGGCCCACCUAGUCUACGAUGGAUAGGGGUUCUGAGAGGAAGGUCCCCCACAUUGGAACUGAGACACGGUCCAA